GGAGAGAUGGCUGAGUGGUUGAAGGCGCCGCUCUCGAAAAGCGGUAUCCUGCGUGAGUGGGAUCCUGGGUUCAAAUCCCAGUCUCUCCG
This 89-nucleotide transfer RNA is filed under the name Candidatus Aceula meridiana. Its description in RNAcentral is "tRNA-Ser". It matches the Rfam family "tRNA". From Rfam's summary of the family: Transfer RNA (tRNA) molecules are approximately 80 nucleotides in length. The record is from RNAcentral. Lineage: Bacteria; Pseudomonadati; Candidatus Omnitrophota.